UAAUAAUAUAAAGUCUGACCUGCCCAAUGAAUAUUAUUUUAAUGGCCGCGAUAUUUUGAUCGUGCAAAGGUAGCAUAAUCAUUAGUUUUUUAAUUAAGAACUGGUAUGAAAGGUUGAACGAGAAAAAUACUGUCUCAAUUUAAUUUUAUUAGAAUUUUAUUUUUAAGUAAAAAAGCUUAAAUUUAUUUAAAAGACGAGAAGACCCUAUAGAGUUUUAUAUUUUAUUAUAUUAAUAAAAGUUUAAGUAUUUCUUUUUUUUUUAUUAUAAGAAAGUAUUUGGUUGGGGUGACUGAAAAAUUAAAUAAACUUUUUUUGAUUGAUAAAACAUUUAUAUAUGAUUAGUUGAUCCAUAAAUUAUGAUUAAAAGAUUAAAUUACCUUAGGGAUAACAGCGUAAUUUUUUUUAAGAGUUCAUAUCGAAAAAAAAGUUUGCGACC
This 436-nucleotide ribosomal RNA is filed under the name Tiniocellus spinipes. RNAcentral describes it as "partial 16S ribosomal RNA". The record is from RNAcentral. Lineage: Eukaryota; Metazoa; Arthropoda; Insecta; Coleoptera; Scarabaeidae.